ACGCUGGCGGCAGGCUAACACAUGCGUUGAAGCGUGCCUUCGGGUGAGCCGCGGACGGUAUAGUAACGCGUGGGAACGUGCCCUUCUCUACGGAAUAGCCACUGGAAACGGUGAGUAAUACCGUAUACGCCCUCAGGGGGAAAGAUUUAUCGGAGAAGGAUCAGCCCGCGUUAGAUUAGGUAGUUGGUGGGGUAACGGGCUACCAAGCCUACGAUCUAUAGCUGGUUUUAGAGGAUGAUCAGCCACACUGGGACUGAGGCACGGUCCAGACUCCUACGGGAGGCAGCAGUAGGGAAUCUUGGACAAUGGGGGCAACCCUGAUCCAGCCAUGCCGCGUGAGUGAAGAAGGCCC
Molecule: ribosomal RNA, 352 nt
Filed under: uncultured Paracoccaceae bacterium
Lineage: Bacteria; Pseudomonadati; Pseudomonadota; Alphaproteobacteria; Rhodobacterales; Paracoccaceae
Description: bacterial SSU rRNA
Rfam family: Bacterial small subunit ribosomal RNA
Source: RNAcentral